Long non-coding RNA from Girardinichthys multiradiatus, 1111 nucleotides. RefSeq lists it as uncharacterized. Lineage: Eukaryota; Metazoa; Chordata; Actinopteri; Cyprinodontiformes; Goodeidae. The transcript is spliced from 2 exons. The record is from RefSeq and is a predicted model, not a curated record.
UAGUUUUGUUUUUGUAGUCAGUUUUCCCUUUGGUUAUGUUAUAGUCUAGCUCAUCUUAUAUUCCUUUUGUCUUCCAGUCUGGUCACCAAAGGAACCAUUCAUAUUCCCUCAGUUCUCUGCAGCCUGGUCCACACCUGAUUCUCGUCUCCUCUGAUAUCCUGCCUCUCUGUCUCAUUGGUCCAUACUCCACUCCCCUCUGUUUAUAAGCUGACUCGUUUUCAUUGUUCUUCGCUGGUUCCUCCCGUUCACUACCAUGACUAUGUUCAGUUUGUGCUACGCUCCUGCUCUGAGUUUUCAUUGCAGAUCAAGCCUGCGACCCUCUCACCCCCAGCAGCCAGGCACUGACUCAACUGCCCAGCACUGAGGAGGAGGAACCACCUCGAGCUCUCCAAACCUGCAAGAGAGGACACCAUGCCAUCCCACCCAAUUGGACAGUCCCAGGGAGGUCAAGAGAGUAGGACAGCUAUCAGGGCCCAGCUCAGUCCCUGCAGCCCACAGCCAGCCCAGAGCAUUGCUGUGAACCAUAGACCACCAUUCAGGAACCCACCAUGCUGCGAUAUGACGGAAGUAACCACACAAACACCACCACACCAGCCAGGUUCUCCCCUCAUGUCAGAAGGUUUAAUCACCCUACUCCAGAAGAUCCUAUUUUUACAAGUUCCUAUUAUUCCAGAAUGCAUAAGCUGCAUCUACUGCUACUAAGUUACAGGCAGUUUAUAGAUUGGACUGAUGAAUAUGAGAGUUUUAGUUUAAAACCGAUACAUAUAAAAACAGCACCUUUAUUGACAAAUCUGUCAACAUGAUCUGUUGCAUCAAACUGAAGAAUGCUUUCACUGUCCAUGAUGACUGAAAUCAUGAAAAUUCCUGGAUAUUUAAGUGUUAGGAAUGAAAAAGCUGCAGUCAUUGUUUCCCACAUGACGAACGCACAGACAGACACUGCUGGAGGAUCAGAAAAGCAGCUUGGUGCUGCAGGAGGCUCCUGACAGAGCAAAGAUGUCAGAUGUUCAGCUGUUGUGUUUCGCCUAUAGUUGGACAAAACACACAGUGAUGCCUUUAGAUUGUCUUUUUUUCCUCAAGAAAUUUCUCAAUAAACAUAAAGAGUUUAAAUUGA